AGGAAAAGAAAUCAACCGAGAUUCCCCCAGUAGCGGCGAGCGAACGGGGAGCAGCCCAGAGCCUGAAUCAGUGUGUGUGUUAGUGGAAGCGUCUGGAAAGGCGCGCGAUACAGGGUGACAGCCCCGUACACAAAAAUGCACAUGCUGUGAGCUCGAUGAGUAGGGCGGGACACGUGGUAUCCUGUCUGAAUAUGGGGGGACCAUCCUCCAAGGCUAAAUACUCCUGACUGACCGAUAGUGAACCAGUACCGUGAGGGAAAGGCGAAAAGAACCCCGGCGAGGG
Molecule: ribosomal RNA, 283 nt
Filed under: Escherichia coli
Lineage: Bacteria; Pseudomonadati; Pseudomonadota; Gammaproteobacteria; Enterobacterales; Enterobacteriaceae
Description: partial 23S ribosomal RNA
Rfam family: Bacterial large subunit ribosomal RNA
Source: RNAcentral